This 459-nucleotide ribosomal RNA is filed under the name uncultured bacterium. RNAcentral's name for it is "partial 16S ribosomal RNA". It matches the Rfam family "Bacterial small subunit ribosomal RNA", at positions 338 to 795 of the family's 1533-position model. The record is from RNAcentral.
CCUACGGGAGUCUGCAGUGAGGAAUAUUGGUCAAUGGGCGUAAGCCUGAACCAGCCAAGUCGCGUGAGGGAUGAAGGUUCUAUGGAUCGUAAACCCUUUUAUAAGGGAAUACAGUGUGGGACGUGUCCUAUUUUGUAUGUACCUUAUGAAUAAGGAUCGGCUAACUCCGUGCCAGCAGCCGCGGUAAUACGGAGGAUCCGAGCGUUAUCCGGAUUUAUUGGGUUUAACGGGUGCGUAGGCGGCCUUUUAAGUCAGCGGUGAAAGUCUGUGGCUCAACCAUAGAGUGGCCGUUGAAACUGGGGGGCUUUAGUAGGUUUGAGGCAGGCGGAAUGCGUGGGGUAGCGGUGAAAUGCUUAGAUAUCACGCAGAACCCCGAUUGCGAAGGCAGCCUGCCAAGCCAUGACUGACGCUGAUGCACGAAAGCGUGGGGAUCAAACAGGAUUAGAUACCCCUGUAGUC